GACUUUAGUACCAAGCAAUUGUAUACCCCUAUAGAACCUUUUAUGUUAAAACUAGUAACAAGAAGUACCCCUUCUCUCUAAUGCAAGUAUAAAUCAGCAAGGACAUACCACUGAUAGUUAACAUCCAUGAGCUGACAGUAGAAACACCUCAAGAAAACCCUACUACACUUUAUGUUAACCUAACACAAGAGCAUUUCAAGAAAGAUUAAAAGAAAAAGAAGGAACUCGGCAAACAUUAACCCCGCCUGUUUACCAAAAACAUCGCCUCUUGAUAACUUAUAAGAGGUCCAGCCUGCCCAGUGACUUUGUUCAACGGCCGCGGUAUCCUAACCGUGCGAAGGUAGCGUAAUCACUUGUUCUUUAAAUGAGGACUAGUAUGAAUGGCAUCACGAAGGUUAUACUGUCUCCUUUUUCUAAUCAGUGAAACUAAUCUUCCCGUGAAGAAGCGGGAAUAGAAAUAUAAGACGAGAAGACCCUAUGGAGCUUUAAACAAAUAUACAAUUGCCCACUUAAUUAAAAAUUUCAGAAGAUAAGUACUUACCCAGGCACUUUGAUAUAAAGUUUUAGGUUGGGGUGACCGCGGAGMAAAAAACAACCUCCGCAGUGAAAGGGGGGAUCCCCCUAAACUAAGGGCUACUACCCUAAGUAUCAAUAAACUGACACCAGUUGACCCAAUACACUUGAUCAACGAACCAAGUUACCCUAGGGAUAACAGCGCAAUCCACUUCAAGAGCUCCUAUCGACAAGUGGGUUUACGACCUCGAUGUUGGAUCAGGGUAUCCUAGUGGUGCAGCCGCUACUAACGGUUCGUUUGUUCAACGAUU
Molecule: ribosomal RNA, 824 nt
Filed under: Leptodactylus gracilis (Dumeril's striped frog)
Lineage: Eukaryota; Metazoa; Chordata; Amphibia; Anura; Leptodactylidae
Description: partial 16S ribosomal RNA
Rfam family: Bacterial large subunit ribosomal RNA
Source: RNAcentral